AGUCAAAGGCUUCUUUCGUGUAGCUCCAACAUUUAAUGUGUGUAACUGCAACAUGUUGUUGAGGCAGGUUUGGGAAUAAAACCUAAAACUUUUCGCCCUGCCAAGUUAACCAGAGCACCCAUUUAUAACCGUAUCGAAGAUGCAUCACAGACUAGCUGUGCAGGUUUCAGACCGCGUUAGCGUACUGAAGGCGCCUGGCGAGCCCGACCCAACUCGAACCGACCCGCGGGUUAGAGUCGGGGCUGAGGGCUCGGAGUAGCACCCCCGCCCCGCCUCUCAAAAGGUGCCGUGUCGACUGGCACCAAAAAUCGCGGAUGUACAUAACAGCUCACAGGGCGCUGUUGCACCGCGUUGUUAUAUUUUGUUUUUGGCCGCGUGCGGGCUGUGAGUGAGUGCUAGAGAGUCAGACCGCGACCGCUCCGGGCUUUAGCACCCGCGGGUCGGGUCGGGUUUUAAUUUGCAGGCCCGUUGAUAACUCUAGACCGCGUUAAAACCUAAACAGGAUAUAGCUGGAGGACACAUGUAAUUUAAAGUUAUCAUUUCAGUGGUUUCAGGCUGGCUCUGCACGGGCUGGCUGUCUUUUGGCGCUAAACGCCGACCGAGUCCUCUGCCAGCAACUGGACUCUAGUCCACCUGGACGAGGUGGUCUCGGUCGAAGGAGGCACGCCGCUUCCUUGCCUGUUUUGGUGGCUUCGCUUUGUAAACGCAAACUAUCCGAAAUGUGAAACAAUGUAUGAAUUAUCGCAGGUAGUGCGGACUCAGCGGACUAUGUGGCGUGAACACGACCUCCCUCCGACUGCUGUGAGGCGUCUCGUCUCUCGUCUCUUUCUGUUUUUAAUGUCAUAAGCUUUAUCGGCAUGCAUGGAAGCAUGGGAAACAACUGAUCAAGAAAAGAGGGGAGAAUGAGUGUGGGAGCCACAGGAAUGCACGUGUGAAGGAGAAAGAUAUAGGGAGGACGAGCAGCAAAGGGCAGCAAGCCUCACUUGAACCCAGAUCACCAAGGGAAAAAGAGAGCCUCACGGCAUAAUCUCCAUCCUGUGAGCCACUGGUGCACCCCAUUUAACCCACAGUAAGGUAAAAGUGUAUGGAAUGGCAGUGUAAGCUCUGCACAUUUGUGGCAUCAUCGAAGGGGGGACUUCUUAAACACUAUCGACUGAAACAUGGACAUUUUGGUCAUGGACAUUUUCUGCCUUGUAUUCAUUUGAACUGUUCGUGUUCCUUUAAAACUUGGGGUGGCUUGCGUACACACUUGUAUAGAGCUCACAAAUCAGAGGAAACUGAAAAUCAACGAGAUGUGAUAGCUUUUAAAUGUAAAAUUUGUGACUCAUGCUUUCCAAAUACAAAAGAUUAUUUUCAACACAUUAACUCUCAUCUGAAAAGACUAGAAACAAUAGAGUGUGUGUUUGAUGGUUGUGAGUUCAAAACAAACAUAUAUGGCACUUAUGCUACUCACAAAAGUCGAAAGCACCAAUCUUACUCAUGUGAUGACUUAAAGACUGAUGUGAUUGUAAAACUUCCUAUUUCUACCAGUGUUCAACAGAAAGAAAGCCAUUUUUCAUCAGUGGAAUCAACUGAUGAUGUGGAAUUGGAUACUUCUGUAGAUUUGGAUUGCGAAGGACAUACAAGUGCAUUUGUGGAAGUAAUUGGUUCUCUCUUGUUGAAGUUAGAAAGCAUUUAUCAUGUCACAGGUAAAUGUUUAGAUGACUUGGUGGAACAGCUCCAGUUUAUUUGCACAUCAUCAUCGCAGUACAUUCCAAAUUUAGUGAGAGACAUUUUGACACAGAAUAACUGCACUGUUGAUGAAAAUCUUAUCAGUGAGUUAGUUGAAAAAUUACAACUCUGUAAUCCUCUAACUAAAGCGUUUGGUCCUGAUGGUCCUUUUCAUUCUAAGUAUAAGAGGGAGAAAUACUUUAAAGAAAACUUCCAUUUUAUCGAGCCAGUUGAAUAUAUAUUUGAUCCACUGGACAGUUGUUCUUUUCAAUAUGUACCCAUCCUACAAUCCUUACAGCAACUGUUAAACAAUAAAGACGUUGUAAGUAAAAUACUGACAAGACAUUCAGGCAAUGCAUCACAGCUUUCAUCCUUUCGAGAUGGCAAAUAUUUUAAGUUAAAUGAGUUUCACACAGAUGGGGAGCUAAGAAUUUCACUUAUACUUUAUGUGGAUGAUUUUGAAAUAUGUAAUCCACUUGGAACCUCACGGGAAAAACACAAAGUGACAGCCGUGUAUUGGCUACUUGCAGAUGUGCCAUCAGAAUUGAGAUCCCAAUUAACAUCAAUUAAUUUGGCACUUCUUUGCAAAGCUAAUGAUGUUAAGAAAUUUGGCUAUGAAACUGUCCUGGAGCCUCUCUUGAAGGACCUUAUUACAUUAGAGGAAGAAGGCAUUUUUUUUCCUGCCAGUGGCAAAAAUAUCAGGGGAACAGUUUUUUGUGUUUCAGCGGAUAAUCUAGGUGCUCAUUCCUUGAGGGGCCUGGUGGAAAGUUUUACUGGGCAUUACAUAUGUAGAUUUUGUAUUGGGGACCAUUCAGACUACCAGCAAAAAGAGGUGCAUUCUGGGUUUUUUCCACCAAGAACAAAGGAGAAUUAUACUUUACAUGUUCAAUCUGUAAAGGAAAACCCUGAUCUGGUACAUUGUUACAGUGUAAAGAAGGUUUGUCCCUUAACAGAGAAAUUGAAGCAUUUCCAUUUUGUGACAGGGUACCCACCAGAUGUGCUCCACGACCUCUUGGAAGGAAUAAUACCUUUGGAGUUGGCACUAUGUUUUAAUGCGUUUGUAAAAAAGCAGUAUUUCACUCUUUUACAACUGAACGAUUUGAUUACCGAGUUUCCGUAUAAUUGGACCAAUAAAACUGACCGCCCCCAACCCAUCCCACUAAAUCUUUCUUCUCGCAGAUCUAUCGGUGGAAACGCACACGAGAAUUGGACACUACUAAGAUUAUUACCAUUUAUAAUUGGUGCAAAGGUGCCAUUCAGUGAUCCCGCAUGGCAAGUUCUCAUGAUAUUAAAAGAUAUUACUGAACUCGUGGUAUCCCCGAUUCAUACCGAGGACAGUAUAAGUUAUCUUGAUGCAUUGAUAUCUGAACGUUGCCAUAGACUGCUGGAAGUUUUUCCUGACUUUAAGUUAACUCCUAAGUUCCAUUUCUUGGAACAUUAUCCAGACAUGAUAAAAAUGCUUUGGACCUUUGGUUUGUGUCUGGACUAUGCGCUUUGAGGCAAAGCAUAGUUUUUUCAAGCGUAUUGGUAGACACACAAACAGUUUCAGAAACAUUCUACUCAGUCUCGCCACAAAGCACCAAAUGAUGAUGUCAUAUCAUUUACAUGCUGAUGCUUUGAAACCUGCAUUAUGUGUGAGUAAAGUAACUAGUAUUCCAUUGGCAUUGCUGCAUGAGGAAAUACAGGAGUCUUUUAAAAAAGUAUAUCCAACACAAACCACAGUGGAGCUGACAAAUGCACUGUCAUAUCAUGGAACCAGAUAUGCAGUUGGGAUGAUUUUGCCUCAUGGUGCUACCGGUGGUCUACCCGAUUUUGUGGAAAUUUCACAAAUUGUGAUUGUAGGCAGUGAUCUUACUUUCAUUGUUAAGUUGCUUAACAGUUGGUAUUAUGAACAUUUUAGGGGAUUUGUUUUGGAGCACUCUGGGAAGGUGACUCUGCUGCACAUACAGCAACUUAGUGAUACAUACCCCUUGGCAGCAUACUGUGUGGGAGGGAAACGCAUGGUCAGUUUAAAAAGACACAUUAUUGUCCAGUAGUAGGUGAAAAAGCUAAAAGCAUCAACGGUACAGCAAUCCUACUCUGAUUUCCAGUUGUGAAUUGUUUUCAUACAGAUGGACCCUGUUGUUGUGAAGGUGAUUAUAGAUCAUCAUAGUGAGAAGCUCACACUGUCAUCAGGGAUGCCAGACACAGUGGAGCAAUUGCAUAAGACUGUGAAGGACACUUUCCAGAUCCAUGAGGAAUUCACCCUCCACUACUUUGACGAGGACUUUGGUGAUUUCUUCACAAUUCAUUCUACUAACGAGGUUAAACAUAAGGGGACAAUCAAGGUGGUCAUUAUUCCAUCCAUAGUGCUCUCAUUAGCAACACCGGAGACUGAAAAUGUGGCAGAUGCAGACAAUGUGAGUGACACCUCCAGUUUGACUUCAAAAACACUGUCUUCACAGUCAUCCUCUAGUUCUGCUGACUACCAGUCAGAUGGCACAUCAUCAGUGUCAUCACAAGGCACUGUCUUACUAAGCCCCGAAAGGGUAUUGUGGCCAAGUGAAAUUGAAAUUCCACGUUUUUCAGUUGCAACAGAGGCAGUACUGAGGAAUGCGAAUGAACAAUUUUUGAAAAAUGGAACUGUCCUCAACAACCCCAAGUUGAAGUCUGAAAUACUGGAAAGGCUGGCAGAUUACAUGUACAGUUACACUGCCUAUCCCACAGGCCUUCAGGUCGGACAGGUUGCAGAAGCCUUAGUCCAAAAACACCCAUGUCUAACAGAACCUGGAAGUCGCAACGGAUGGAUUGGAUGGAUGUACAGCCUAAAAUACAAGAUGGGGAAUUAUAGGUCCAAGUUAAGAAAUCUUGGAUUUCCUGAAGUUACGUGCAAUUCUCUCAAAAACAAGCGUCCUGGUGAGAGGAAACCAGCCCAAAAUGUUAAAAAAGCACGCAAAGGGGAAGUGAUGUAUCUCCCACAUUAUCCUUCAGGAGAAAGCAGUGAACACCAAGAGCAACAGCGGCUCAAAAUUCUGUCUGAAUUAAAGAAGAGAGAGAGGCCAACCAUCAAUGGAUUGAUGUCCAACACUUUUGCUCAUCGAAGACAGGAUGUUGUUAGUCUUCAACUGAGCAUCAAGGAGAUCAAGGAAAGGUGGCCUGCCUUGUUCGAUGUGUCACAGGUCAACGCUGAGUUCCAUCGAAUUACCACCGUAAAUCUUGAGGCCAAAUUCAUGUUCAUGUUAGACCAUAACACCCCUAAACUGCUUGCCAUCUUCCAAGCCAAGAAAGGUGCUGCUGGAGAGAGACAUCGUACAGAAAUGAAUAUUCUACUCCAGAGUGGAAUUCCCAUAGAGAAAACCAGAGAAGUUGUCAUCCGAUGUCUCAUUGAUCACCUGGGUGAAGAUGUGGGUGCCUUAAUCAAGGAGUUUGAGAAUUUUGGUGAUUCAGCGGUCAAUGUGGAAGAAGAGCUGGCAGCAGAGACGAUGGCUCUGUACCUUGUGCGUGAUGAAGAUGGACAAGUCAGGGAUGUAGGUAUCGUCAUUGAGGGUUCCACCGUACUCAACCACCUUGGGGAUCUCAGCAGAGCCUGCGGCUACUUGCUUGGACUAACUUAUGCCUUGGACCUCAAAUACCCCAAAACUCUUAAAUACAUUUUUGAAGUAUUUCAAAAGAUGCUCGUUGAAGUGGAUGCUGGAAACCUGUCAACAAAGGUGCAACGACUGAAAAACAAUGUAAUGAUAUAGUUGUCUGUGGGGUAGAUGAGCACAGAUGAGACUCAUACAACUGAACCAUGUGUGUAAGGCAAAAAACAGACUGUACGCUCAGUAAUUAGUGAGGUUCUUCUGGACAGAAAUUUGGACAAUCUAUGGCUUCAUUUCGUCAAACCACCUCCAGGUGUUGUCUGACUGAUUGUUGAUGUUUUUUUGAUUGUACAUUUACAUUUUGCAUUAAUAUGCGUUUGAUUUUUUUCUUCAAUCAUUCGGAGGCGUGAGGCAUCCAAUUUUUGAGUUUCGAGUCAAGAGUUUCAAGGCAUUUUCACCAGAAGUGACUUAAAUGUUGUACUUCUAAAGGAGGAAGUAGUUUUUGUAUUUCCAGUUUGGAGUAUCUGUAAUUCUGAGAAAUGCAGGUGUUUAAAAAAGCAUAAGAGAUGACCAAUGUAUUGUCAUAUCUAAAUGUGAAGCCAAAUAUGCUGUGGAGAUGAUUUUGCCCUUGUGUCACAGAUGUGAUGGGCCCAGUUACUAGUCAUCAAUGUGUUUAGUGUGAAGAUUACCCCUUGCAUUAAUAUGCAUCUUUAAUAUGUAUCUUUUUCAUGGCCAUUUGGCAAGAAGCAUUUUAGUUCAGAGGCGUUUGAUCUUGGGUAUCCUGAAUUGCCUUUCUUGUAAUAGCUUCGAAUGUGCUGCUGUAGGUUGUGUACACAUAACUUGAGUGGUAAGACAGACGGACAAGUUGCGAUAUGUGAUCUAGCUCCAGUUCUUAGGGAGAAGUUGCCAUGCUAAGUAUUUUAAAAAUUCCUUAUUGAAAUGCACUUUCAUGUAUUAGGUAUAUGCAUAUACUGGAAAAAAAUGUAAUUUUCUGUGGGAAAAAUGUUUUAAAAUAAAGUUUAAUGUUUUGUGAGAUCUUGGUCAUAUUUGUAUAUGUAUAUAGUAGUAGUAUGUAUAUAGUACUGAAUAUCCUCAAAUCAAAUACAGCAAGUUUAAAAAAUCAAUCAGUACAACAAAUUUUUUUAGUAAGUCAUUAGAAAAUUUGCAAUUAUCUCCUACAAAUGUUUUCAAUUAUAUUUACUCAGUUUUUUUAGUGCUUUCUACUCACGUUUUCUGUAUGGUUUACACAGUAUUUCAGUUACAUUUACUCAAUUUAUGUGGUGUUUGUGCCAAGUCAAAUCAUUCAGAUGUAAUUGAAAAUAUUACUUACUCAUUACUCAUUAAUAGAUUUACUCAAUACUCAUGUUUUG
Molecule: RNA transcript, 6640 nt
Organism: Acanthopagrus latus (yellowfin seabream)
Lineage: Eukaryota; Metazoa; Chordata; Actinopteri; Spariformes; Sparidae
Exons: 6
Source: RefSeq, a predicted model, not a curated record